RNAcentral lists this long non-coding RNA (403 nucleotides) under Elaeis guineensis (African oil palm). Its description in RNAcentral is "long non-coding RNA (EGUI_LNC073365)". Lineage: Eukaryota; Viridiplantae; Streptophyta; Magnoliopsida; Arecales; Arecaceae. The record is from RNAcentral.
CGGUUCCUUCCUCCUCGGCUAACGGCGGGACGACGCGGCUGACGUCCAGCUCUGGGUACAAGGCAUGGACGGCGUCCCGACCGUCCUCGAACCCGACCCGGUAUGAGGCGAAGCCCGACUCGAGCAUCUCCUCCCGGUAUUGGUCGGAAGUCCGAAAGUCUUCCACCGCCCGAUCGGCCGACUCUUUCGCCGACCUUGCCUCGUCCUCCGCAUGGGCGAGCGACUCCCUCGCCGACUCCGCCUCAACCUUCGCCAUUUCGGCAUCGAUCUGGGCGAUGGAUAGCUCCUCUUCGGCUUCGGCGAGCUUCUCCAGGCUGACCCGAAGUUGCUCGCGUUCCCCUUGGAGUUCGACGGUGGCGCCGUCCCGUUCGCGUCGAAGACGACGCACGGCCCGACCCUUAUG